Molecule: non-coding RNA, 22 nt
Filed under: Arabidopsis thaliana (thale cress)
Lineage: Eukaryota; Viridiplantae; Streptophyta; Magnoliopsida; Brassicales; Brassicaceae
Source: RNAcentral
GGUGACACAUAUAAUGAUCCGC